UACGUAGGGGGCAAGCGUUGUCCGGAUUUAUUGGGCGUAAAGAGCGUGUAGGCGGCCAGACAGGUCAGCUGUGAAAACUCGAGGCUCAACCUCGAGACGUCGGUUGAAACCGUCUGGCUAGAGUCCGGAAGAGGAGAGUGGAAUUCCCGGUGUAGCGGUGAAAUGCGCAGAUAUCGGGAGGAACACCAGUGGCGAAGGCGGCCGGCUGGGGGUGACCUGACGCUGAGGCGCGAAAGCGUGGGGAGCGAACCGG
This 253-nucleotide ribosomal RNA is filed under the name uncultured bacterium. RNAcentral describes it as "partial 16S ribosomal RNA". It matches the Rfam family "Bacterial small subunit ribosomal RNA", at positions 524 to 776 of the family's 1533-position model. The record is from RNAcentral.